GACGAACGCUGGCGGCGUGCUUAACACAUGCAAGUCGAACGGAAAGGCCCUGCUUGCAGGGUACUCGAGUGGCGAACGGGUGAGUAACACGUGGGUGAUCUGCCCUGCACUUCGGGAUAAGCCUGGGAAACUGGGUCUAAUACCGGAUAGGAGCCAUUUUUAGUGUGAUGGUUGGAAAGUUUUUUCGGUGUAGGAUGAGCUCGCGGCCUAUCAGCUUGUUGGUGGGGUAAUGGCCUACCAAGGCGGCGACGGGUAGCCGGCCUGAGAGGGUGGACGGCCACAUUGGGACUUAGGGACGGCCCAGACUCCUACGGGAGGCCGCAGUGGGGAAUAUUGCACCAUGGGCGCCAGCCUGAUGCAGCGGCGCCGCGUGGGGGAAGACGGCCUUCGGGUUGUAAACUCCUUUCGCUAGGGACGAAGCUUUUUGUGACGGUACCUAGAUAAGAAGCACCGGCUAACUACGUG
This 465-nucleotide ribosomal RNA is filed under the name uncultured bacterium. RNAcentral's name for it is "partial 16S ribosomal RNA". It matches the Rfam family "Bacterial small subunit ribosomal RNA", at positions 28 to 507 of the family's 1533-position model. The record is from RNAcentral.